RNAcentral lists this ribosomal RNA (295 nucleotides) under uncultured bacterium. RNAcentral describes it as "partial 16S ribosomal RNA". It matches the Rfam family "Bacterial small subunit ribosomal RNA", at positions 86 to 382 of the family's 1533-position model. The record is from RNAcentral.
GUCAGCUAAGUGGCGCACGGGUGAGUAAUGUAUAGCUAACAUGCCCCUUAGAGGGGGAUAACAGUUGGAAACGACUGCUAAUACCCCAUAUGCCUCUAAUACAAAAGUAUGCGAGGGAAAGGAAUUUUCGCUAAGGGAUUGGGCUAUAUCGUAUCAGCUAGUUGGUGAGGUAAAGGCUCACCAAGGCUAUGACGCGUAGCUGGUCUGAGAGGAUGAUCAGCCACACUGGAACUGAGACACGGUCCAGACUCCUACGGGAGGCAGCAGUGAGGAAUAUUGCACAAUGGGGGAAACC